CCUACGGGAGGCAGCAGUGGGGAAUAUUGCACAAUGGGCGCAAGCCUGAUGCAGCGACGCCGCGUGAGCGAUGAAGGCCUUCGGGUCGUAAAGCUCUGUCCUAAGGGAAGAAUAAUGACGGUACCUUAGGAGGAAGCCCCGGCUAACUACGUGCCAGCAGCCGCGGUAAUACGCAGGGGGCGAGCGUUAUCCGGAAUCACUGGGCGUAAAGGGUGCGUAGGCGGCCCUGCAAGUCAGGAGUUAAAGCCCGCGGCUCAACCGAGGUAAGCUCGUGAAACUGUAGGGCUUGAGUGCAGGAGAGGAGAGUGGAAUGCCGAGGGUAGCGGUGAAAUGCGUAGAUAUUAGGAGGAGCACCAGUGGCGAAGGCGACUCUCGGGACUGCAACUGACGCGGAGGCACGAAAGCGUGGGGAGCGAACAGGGUUAGAUACCCCAGUAGUC
RNAcentral lists this ribosomal RNA (440 nucleotides) under uncultured bacterium. RNAcentral's name for it is "bacterial SSU rRNA". It matches the Rfam family "Bacterial small subunit ribosomal RNA", at positions 338 to 795 of the family's 1533-position model. The record is from RNAcentral.